Molecule: long non-coding RNA, 346 nt
Filed under: Cyanistes caeruleus (blue tit)
Lineage: Eukaryota; Metazoa; Chordata; Aves; Passeriformes; Paridae
Description: lncRNA (ENSCCEG00000022249.1)
Source: RNAcentral
CGAAUUACUUACGCCAUGGAUAAUAAACCCGCUGUCUGUAUGAGGAGGAGGUAAGAAAACUUCAUCUGCAGUCGCCUAAACCUGGGGAGACAUAAAACCAAUCCAAGCAUCAGCAGAUAUGAUUCAGAAAGCUACAGCCAUGAGCAUGCACAAAGGAAGUGGGUUUACUUUUCAUGUCAUCAGCUUUGAGAAGAGUGAAGAAAUUAAACUUUUCGGAGGCUUUAACCUCCAGUAAGCCGCAAUGACCCAGCAAGUGUUCACAGAAAGGAUGUUCUCAUCUCUUCACAUCAUCCUACGUAAGUAGAAAAGAGAGAGAAAAAGAUAAUCUGAAAAAUCUGGUUUGUGC